Molecule: ribosomal RNA, 495 nt
Filed under: uncultured bacterium
Lineage: Bacteria
Description: partial 16S ribosomal RNA
Rfam family: Bacterial small subunit ribosomal RNA
Source: RNAcentral
GACGAACGCUGGCGGCGUGCCUAAUACAUGCAAGUAGAACGCUGAAGGAGGAGCUUGCUUCUCUGGAUGAGUUGCGAACGGGUGAGUAACGCGUAGGUAACCUGCCUGGUAGCGGGGGAUAACUAUUGGAAACGAUAGCUAAUACCGCAUAAGAGUAGAUGUUGCAUGACAUUUGCUUAAAAGGUGCAAUUGCAUCACUACCAGAUGGACCUGCGUUGUAUUAGCUAGUUGGUGGGGUAACGGCUCACCAAGGCGACGAUACAUAGCCGACCUGAGAGGGUGAUCGGCCACACUGGGACUGAGACACGGCCCAGACUCCUACGGGAGGCAGCAGUAGGGAAUCUUCGGCAAUGGACGGAAGUCUGACCGAGCAACGCCGCGUGAGUGAAGAAGGUUUUCGGAUCGUAAAGCUCUGUUGUAAGAGAAGAACGAGUGUGAGAGUGGAAAGUUCACGCUGUGACGGUAUCUUACCAGAAAGGGACGGCUAACUACGUG